UGGGGAAUAUUGCACAAUGGAGGAAACUCUGAUGCAGCGAUGCCGCGUGAGGGAAGAAGGUUUUAGGAUUGUAAACCUCUGUCUUCAGGGACGAAAAAAGACGGUACCUGAGGAGGAAGCUCCGGCUAACUACGUGCCAGCAGCCGCGGUAAUACGUAGGGAGCGAGCGUUGUCCGGAAUGACUGGGUGUAAAGGGAGCGUAGGCGGGAUGGCAAGUCAGAUGUGAAACCUGAGGGCUCAACCUUCAGACUGCAUUUGAAACUGCUGUUCUUGAGUGAAGUAGAGGUAAGCGGAAUUCCUGGUGUAGCGGUGAAAUGCGUAGAGAUCAGGAGGAACAUCGGUGGCGAAGGCGGCUUACUGGGCUUUUACUGACGCUGAGGCUCGAAAGCGUGGGGAGCAAACAGGAUUAGAUACCCUGGUAGUCCACGCUGUAAACGAUGAUUACUAGGUGUGGGGGGAUUGACCCCUUCCGUGCCGCAGUUAACACAAUAAGUAAUCCACCUGGGGAGUACGACCGCAAGGUUGAAACUCAAAGGAAUUGACGGGGGCCCGCACAAGCAGUGGAGUAUGUGGUUUAAUUCGAAGCAACGCGAAGAACCUUACCAGGUCUUGACAUCGAGUGACGUAUCCAGAGAUGGAUAUUUCCUUCGGGACACAAAGACAGGUGGUGCAUGGUUGUCGUCAGCUCGUGUCGUGAGAUGUUGGGUUAAGUCCCGCAACGAGCGCAACCCUUAUCAUUAGUUGCUACGCAAGAGCACUCUAAUGAGACUGCCGUUGACAAAACGGAGGAAGGUGGGGAUGACGUCAAAUCAUCAUGCCCCUUAUGACCUGGGCUACACACGUACUACAAUGGCGAUCAAACAGAGGGAAGCAAGACAGCGAUGUGGAGCCAAUCCCAAAAAAUCGCCCCAGUUCAGAUUGCAGGCUGCAACUCGCCUGCAUGAAGUCGGAAUUGCUAGUAAUCGCAGAUCAGCAUGCUGCGGUGAAUACGUUCCC
RNAcentral lists this ribosomal RNA (996 nucleotides) under uncultured bacterium. RNAcentral's name for it is "bacterial SSU rRNA". It matches the Rfam family "Bacterial small subunit ribosomal RNA", at positions 355 to 1375 of the family's 1533-position model. The record is from RNAcentral.